Long non-coding RNA from Mustela erminea (ermine), 2018 nucleotides. RefSeq lists it as uncharacterized. NCBI's taxonomy places the organism in Eukaryota, Metazoa, Chordata, Mammalia, Carnivora, Mustelidae. The transcript is spliced from 3 exons. The record is from RefSeq and is a predicted model, not a curated record.
UCAUGACCUGAGGUGAGGACAGACACUAAACUGACUGAGCCACCCAGACAGCCCUUAUGGAGCUUCCUCCCCGAAGUUGUCUGUAGUCUGGAAUGCAGCCUAUCUCACUGGGUUUCCCAGGUUCUUGCUAGCAGGUCCUAGACUGGCCCUCCUACAGGAACUGAAGCUACCUUCUGCUUCAUUCCCACUGACUAGCAAACCCAGAGCUUUGUUUCUCCCCCACAUGACACUGAAAACCUAUGGGCCUGCUGCAGGCUCCACUGAAAAAGGACUCCCUGACCACUUGCCCUUGUCUCCUUCUACCCCAGAGAGGAAAUAGCAAUCCCCCAGGACACAUGUGUUGGGAGGCCGGCAGCGGGGCUCUGUUCCAGCCCUUGGAAUCUUGCGAAUGGGGGGAACCUAGCACUCUGGCUCUCCUUCCAGAUAAGAUAAAGUUUCCUUUUGUUACUGUUGCCUUAGGAGUUGACCUUGCCAGGGGCCAAAAAUGUUAAUGAGGUCCCAAGAGGAAACCUGCCAGGUGGACUGAGCUCUGAACUGAAAGUCACAUGGGACUAGGAGGAUUCCCAGAGGUGUGACUUCGGGCAAAUCAGGUUGCCUUUCUGAGCCUGCCUUGCCAGGGGUUGGCAAGACAAUGAGACAACACUGCAAUGUUUGUGGCUUUGGAAAGGUGCUCAUCAUACGUUGGUCUGCAAAAACAGGUCACAAAAAGUUGCCUCCGUGACCAUGAAUUACAUAUUUAUCAGCUAUUUCCAGAACAGUGCUGCAGAACAGAGCAGCCCCGGAACCAGUGGCUUACAUCACAAGGAUCUAUUCUUGUGCUCAUGGUCUGCAGUUAGACUGAUGUGGGCUGGCCUUGGCGGGGCUGCUCUGGCAGGUCACCAGAGCCCGAAGUGCACAAGUAUCUAGAAAGCCCCUGCCUACAUCAUUUCAAUAAUGUAUCAUUGGCUAAAGCAAGACACACGUUGGCCAAGCCCAGCAUCGAGGGAGCAGGGAAGUGAGUAUACACCACUGCAAGGGGAGGGAAAUGAAGGUAUGUUGAAUAAUGGCCCAGAUUUACUAGUUAUCAUUUGCAUAACAAAAUGAGCAUGCUGUACUUCGUGAGAUGUAUUCAUAUCGUCCACUAGAGAGAAUCCUAUAAGGCUCCCUAAGGAUAAGAUAGGGAGCCAUUGUAUUACCUUGUUAGAGGUCAGAAGAAAUGUUCAAGGGAUAGGCUGACCGUCUCUUCCCUCAGCCUCUCUGUCCCUUUAAGACAACCAGACGCUACCAUCAUUGACACCUGCAGUCCCACAAAAGAAGGUGGAAAACACAGGCUAUGGGCGAUUAUAGCCAAAGGCCAGACAUUUGCUAGUUCCCGUCCAGAUCUGUUUGAAUCCACUUCCUGAUGAUUUCCUCUCUUCUGGCUUCUCUCAGUUCAUUCAGCCAUUCACUCAAGAAAUAUUUACUGACCACCUACUAUGUGCUGGCACACUUCCAGCAAGGAUGGGGUUAUGUUGGAGAAUAAGGCGAGUAUCAAUGCAUAAGAAAAUCUCCCUAGAGUAUACAUUCUAGUGGGGAGAUGGAAUGGGUGCUGGGUGUGGUGGGAAAUGGUAGUGAUGUUGAUAAUGCCAAGUAGUGUAAAUGCUAAGAAUGAAAUAAAAUAGGGUAGCGCUCCUGAAAUCAAUAGGGCAGGGCAGGGCAGGGCUACUUUGGGAGAUGAAAUUAGGGAAGAACCCUGAGUAAGUGCUGUUGUAAGUCAUUAGAGGUGCCUCUUAGAAUCUGAUAUUUCUAUCUGGGCCCUCCAGACUUGACUGUGAGUCCCACUUAAGAACUCGGCUUGGAUUUUUCCCACCAGCUCACUCCCUACUUUGGCCUGUUUUGGGGAGCUUUCCUAUCCUAGCUGUCUUUCUGAACCCAGCUCAGCUUCCCAUUGGCUGGCUGGUGCCCCAAUCAGCUUAACUAGUUCUCAUCAUAGAAGAUACCCUGGGGAGCCUUGUGACCCUUGAUCUCAGGAUCAGUGGGUUCAAGCCUCACAUUGGGCA